AACGAACGCUGGCGGCAGGCCUAACACAUGCAAGUCGAGCGAGGACUUCGGUCCUAGCGGCGGACGGGUGAGUAACGCGUGGGAACGUGCCCUUUGCUUCGGAAUAGCCCUGGGAAACUGGGAGUAAUACCGGAUGAGCCCUUUGGGGGAAAGAUCUAUCGGCGAAGGAUCGGCCCGCGUUGGAUUAGGUAGUUGGUGGGGUAAUGGCCUACCAAGCCGACGAUCCAUAGCUGGUUUGAGAGGAUGAUCAGCCACACUGGGACUGAGACACGGCCCAGACUCCUACGGGAGGCAGCAGUGGGGAAUCUUAGACAACGGGGGAAACCCUGAUCUAGCCAUGCCGCGUGAGCGAUGAAGGCCUUAGGGUUGUAAAGCUCUUUCAGCUGGGAAGAUAAUGACGGUACCAGCAGAAGAAGCCCCGGCUAACUCCGUG
Molecule: ribosomal RNA, 433 nt
Filed under: uncultured bacterium
Lineage: Bacteria
Description: partial 16S ribosomal RNA
Rfam family: Bacterial small subunit ribosomal RNA
Source: RNAcentral